CGAUUUUUAGGAAAAAUUAAACAUCAAAUCUCCAUCUUUAGGAAUUCAAAGGUCCGUGAAUUUGUAUGUUAUUCAUACGGAAACAUACUUUUUUUUGGCUAAAUCUUAGCAUGAAGGUCCACCUUCGUGAUUUCAAUGGUCCAUGUGUUUGUACAAGACACUUAGUAUUGAACCUGGAACAUCCCUUAAGCUCCUGAAUUGAAAUAGAAGAACGUUACUUUAUGAAAAUAAGAUUGUGAGUGUAUUUUUCCUGUUUGUUUGGUGUAUUCUGGUGGUUUGUGUACGGGAGUUUUUAAACGGUGGAAAGUGAAGGUGAACAGAGGGAAUGUUUGUUUAUAUGUUUGGUUAGAAGAGAAUGCAGUCAGGUAAGGUUAGACAUGAUUAAACCGCUCUAAUGGACUUGAAGAAGUGUUCCCCGUGGAAAUAAAAGCAAGUCUUUUUACGAUAAUUAGCACUUCAGAGAAGCUUCCCGCUAGCAGCAGCUCAUUAUGAUGUCACAGUGGCACUGCACUGUCAUAACAGCACUAGUGAGGUGCGGUGUUCUUGAAACACACUAGUUAUUUCUGUUGGAAAACUGACUGCAACUUAAUUCAAGCGAUCGAGCAGCCUUGUCUCCAAGGCCAUUGUUUCUCAAAACAAGCCUUAGUGCUUGAGUACACAUGCUGAGGUUUAGAAACUUGCAAACGGAUAUCCACCCGAGCUCGCCGCUGCUGCAAACCUCUUUAUAACAAUUAAAAAGUUGCUGACAGAAUGUGUAAAAGAAUAGGACCGCUCGUCUCCAGCUCACCCACCGUGGUGUCAGGAGUACAAGCGCGAUGUGAAAUCACAUUACCCGAGUGCUCGGUUAAUUACAGAUGCUUGAGAAGAGCGCCGUGAAUACAAAUGUCACACUGAUUGUGGAUGUCGAGCUGCCGGGGGCUCAGAUCAGAUGCCGAGAUAGAUUGAUCGUGUCUCUAAUGGCUCACAGCAUGUCGAGAUGUAUUAACAUCAUCAAGAGGAAUCAUUUGAGCUUCCUGCGUCAGCGAAUGGCUUGAUUUACUGAGGCAUCUAAAUGUCGUGUUGGUGUACAACAAAAGUUGAAAGAAUGUACGUGAUCGAUUGCAUCAGAUGUCAUUUACAGGGCUUGGAAAACCAAUUGUGAGUUUCAAGCCUGGAAAAGUCAUGGAUGAAAACAUUUAUUUGCUGAAAUGCUUGGUUGCUGGAAAAUUCAUGGAAAUUAAUUUUUCUAAACUUACAGGAAGUACCCUGUGACUAGUUAUAUUUCUCCGAAAACAUUUGAUACAUUUUAUCAUUAAUUUGACUAAUAUUUCAUGUGACCUUACCUGGAUUUGAAGGAAGUAGGCCUGUUUUAAGCAUGGAUUACGGUGGAGAGAGUUGUAUGUGUGCUAGCUGUGAUGUAUGAAGUGCUUGAAAGGAGUUUGGUAGGUUUGAUUUAUCUUUUUCUGUGUUAAUCUGCAUUUUUGAUCAGAUGCAUCAGUGUUUGGUGUGAGGCGGCAGGGUGUGUUUAUGUGUUCACUUUGAUGCGAACAAGUGCAAAAAGGGAACAUGCUGCGGCGGUCUAAUCUCUUGCUGUUUUCUGUCCCUGUCUCUGCUUGGCUGUCUGCACUAAUUACCGUUCUUCUCCUCUUAAUUAACAGUCACGAAAAAACAGCACGUGGGGCCAGUGACAUCUUGCUUAAAAGAAUGUUUUGAUGAGCAUCACUCUGAAAUGUACAUUUAUUGAGAACAUUGGAUGUAAGGAAUGUUUGGCUAGAUAUUUGCAAAACCCUCUUGUCAUAAGGUAUAUUUAAAAGUGUACUCUUGGACAUAUUGAGAAAAGGCCUUGCAUUGAUAUUAUUCAGCGCUCAGCCAAAUCUACAUUUUGUAUGCAUUUCUUUUAAAGCUCUAAAGGUCUAAGCUUCAGUUUUAAUUUUCAGCAUUUUGUUUUUUUUUUUACUUUACGUUUUGUUUUUGUACCUUUUUAUGUUUUUCAUUGUAUCUUGCAUUGUCCUAAAGGAAAACACAAUAAAAUGUAUCCUCCUUGUUCUUAUAUCUCACUGUCAUGCUUUGCUCUACAUUUAGCAGAGAACAUUCAUCUUUCAUAGAUUUAUAUGUAGAGAUUUAGGAGUCAGGUGUUAGACAGUCAAGGAUUUAGGUAUCAUGUCUCUAAAUCCAACAACACCAUUUGUCUUUUUCGUUUGAACAUGAUAGAGCAAUGAUAGUUCAC
Cyprinus carpio carpio is the source of this 2206-nucleotide long non-coding RNA. Lineage: Eukaryota; Metazoa; Chordata; Actinopteri; Cypriniformes; Cyprinidae. The record is from Ensembl.